RNAcentral lists this unclassified non-coding RNA (253 nucleotides) under uncultured Alphaproteobacteria bacterium. RNAcentral's name for it is "contains 16S-23S intergenic spacer region". It matches the Rfam family "Bacterial small subunit ribosomal RNA", at positions 524 to 776 of the family's 1533-position model. Lineage: Bacteria; Pseudomonadati; Pseudomonadota; Alphaproteobacteria. The record is from RNAcentral.
UACGAAGGGGGCUAGCGUUGUUCGGAUUUACUGGGCGUAAAGCGCGCGUAGGCGGAUUGUUAAGUCAGGGGUGAAAUGCCGGGGCUCAACCUCGGAACUGCCCUUGAUACUGGCAAUCUGGAGUUCGGGAGAGGUGAGUGGAAUUCCGAGUGUAGAGGUGAAAUUCGUAGAUAUUCGGAGGAACACCAGAAGCGAAGGCGGCUCACUGGCCCGAUACUGACGCUGAGGCGCGAAAGCGUGGGGAGCAAACAGG